CUAUGGAGUUAAGUAAAGAAAGUUAUGCAAAAUAGGAAGCCUCCUGUCAUGUGAUAAAAUUAAAAGCAGCUCACUUAGUGCAGUUGGGACUGUGUACAUACAGUUGAUAAGGAAGUCUUUUUCUUGCAAGAGGACGUGUGGCUAAGGAGGUGGGCUUAUGGUGCAAAAUUGUGCAAAAUCCAUCAAGAGUUAAGCUUGCAAAAAGGAAAGGAC
Pelobates cultripes (western spadefoot toad) is the source of this 213-nucleotide non-coding RNA. Lineage: Eukaryota; Metazoa; Chordata; Amphibia; Anura; Pelobatidae. The record is from the annotation of a GenBank genome assembly.